This 628-nucleotide long non-coding RNA is filed under the name Olea europaea subsp. europaea. Lineage: Eukaryota; Viridiplantae; Streptophyta; Magnoliopsida; Lamiales; Oleaceae. The record is from RNAcentral.
CUUGCACUUGCCUGUGAAAGGUUCUCCUUUAACUGUUGAUUUAAUUUGUAUUUUCGAUCUCCACCACUAGCCUCCCUAUUUCUAUUUUCUGAAUAGAAAGGCAUUUAUAAGUCCUAAUUUUGAAUGGUUAUGCUAUCUCUUUUAACAGAAUAUGAUGGUCAUGAGAUCUAGGAGAUGGCAACCCUGUUGGUUCUUCAAAUACCUCUGUAUAUUGGCUAAUAACCUCAGUGAUUUGGCAUGGAAUUUCUUCUUUCCCUUUCUCCACAAUAUUGUACAAAUGGCCAGCCAGUCCAUAAUGGUACCUUCUAAACAAAUUCUCCAUUUCCUCAACUUCCAUCAUUUUAACCCCUGGUUCUGAUCCUUCACUCCUCAAGAUAACCUCUUUCUGCUGGUGUUUGAACUUCACAUAUCCUAGGAUAAAGUCAAAUUUUAUGAGGCUGACUCAUCCAGUUCACCCUCAAUACCAUAGCACUACCUCCUAACUUCAGAGAUCUCAAAUUAUACUGGAACUCCCAGUUAUGCACCUUCCAAACCAGUGGUUGAUUCAAAGCUUUACUCUCCGGCUUUAUACCAUUAGCCACUCUCAUUGUCAUGGUUGUGGUUUCCUCAGUAGUGUAGUUCAGCUCCU